CUGGUCAGCAUUGUUUGAAGGUUAGCGGUUGGGUCUGUGGUAUUACUAUUACUGAAGACUGCAUGAAGUUGUAACAAUUAGUGGUUUUCAAGCCAAAGGUGGUUACUGCUUGGGUAUUUGAAUGCUAGAUGCACCUCAUUCUUUCAACACCUGGAGGUCACUAAUAGUCAAGGAAACAGCUGAUAAGGAUGGUAGAACAUUACAUUGCCAGUACUUGUGAGGUGCAAAUGCCAUAGGCCAUAAGGUCUCUUAUCUUUUACAGAAUAAACAUAAAAAUAUGUGUUUAGGACUACACAGUUAGUUGUCGUGUCCAUGAGCUUCUAACAAGAUUAUCGGUUGCCUCAACUAUCAAAAUGAACAUCUAAAUUGAUUUUCCUCACAUUUGCCAACGGACCGUUUCAAGUAACAAGAAUUAAAGUUGCUAUCUAAGUAGUUAAUGCUGAGCGAGGACUCCUUGUCAAGCCAGACACUUCCACAGGAAAAUUGGAUUUGAGAAACCAUGGAGAAACAGCAAUUGGAACUGACAAUUGUCCUGUAAAACAUGUGUUGGAUUUAUUUAAGGAACUUGCUUCUGAAAUUUAUGUGACAACAAAACAGUGACAUUUCAAAAAGUAUCUAUGUUGAUGGCUCAUCCCUGGUGGUGUGUGAUUAUAUAUCCUUGCUGAAUAUGUAUUCAAUUGUAUAAAACUAUUUCAAAAUUACAUAUCAGUACAUCUUUCUUCAAUUGCUUAAUAUGGAGUGUGUUCUUUAGACUCUCCAAUACACAGUAGGAUAUAAUUUACUUUUCAUCUCUGAUGCAUUCUUAAUUUAUAAUGGUUAGGUAAUCUUUUAUUCCAAAUUUAUAUUCUGUAUGCUACUGUGACAGUUAGAAUCACCUCCAAGCUUUCAAAAUUCAAUGUAAUUAUGCCUCAACAUAAAAAUCAGACAAUUGGUUACUAUAUAUUAACUACAACUAACUUAAAUUAACUAACUUACUUAAACUAAUUUAAAAAACUUAAUUUACUUGAACUAACUUUAUCUUAAUUUAAUUUUAACUUAUGGUAAAAUAAACAAACUUUAGGCCUUUACUUAACUAACUUUAGCAGCAUUAUUUAACUUGUUUGAAACUAACUUUGCUUUAACCAACAUUGCCCAUAACUAAAAUGAAUCUUAUUUUUUAAAUUGUGCCUAAUAUUUAUAUUAUUAUUUAAUUUUGUUUAACUAAAUUUUUUACCUAAUUUUUAACUAAUUUCCCUUAGUAAAAUUAACUAGCUUUACUUAACUUCAAUUUACUUUACAUGACUUCAGUUAACUUUAACAACACUUUAACUAAAUUUACUUACGGUAAAUUAAAUUUCUAACUAAAUAUAACUUUAAACAAUUUUACAUAAAUUUAACAAACUUUACCUAACUUCAGUUGCUCCGACUUCCCUUUGAUUGUCAGCUAAUUGUAGUUCAUGGACACAAUUCUGAUCAUCCAUACAUUUAUGAUAUUUUUUGGUAAUGUCUUUCCUUGCAUUGUUUAUUGAUAUUGUGUAAUAAUUUAUAUAUUGAAAGUGUAAAUGAAGAUAAGGCCCCAAAACAAACUGUAUUAAAUAAUCA
This is a long non-coding RNA of Anneissia japonica, 1581 nucleotides long. RefSeq lists it as uncharacterized. NCBI's taxonomy places the organism in Eukaryota, Metazoa, Echinodermata, Crinoidea, Comatulida, Comatulidae. The transcript has 5 exons. The record is from RefSeq and is a predicted model, not a curated record.